Molecule: ribosomal RNA, 445 nt
Filed under: uncultured bacterium
Lineage: Bacteria
Description: partial 16S ribosomal RNA
Rfam family: Bacterial small subunit ribosomal RNA
Source: RNAcentral
CCAGACUCCUACGGGAGGCAGCAGUGGGGAAUAUUGCACAAUGGGGGAAACCCUGAUGCAGCGACGCCGCGUGAGCGAUGAAGUAUUUCGGUAUGUAAAGCUCUAUCAGCAGGGAAGAAAAUGACGGUACCUGACUAAGAAGCCCCGGCUAACUACGUGCCAGCAGCCGCGGUAAUACGUAGGGGGCAAGCGUUAUCCGGAUUUACUGGGCGUAAAGGGAGCGUAGACGGCGGUGCAAGCCAGAUGUGAAAGCCCGGGGCUCAACCCCGGGACGGCAUUUGGAACGGUGCUGCUAGAGUGUCGGAGAGGCAGGCGGAAUUCCUAGUGUAGUGGUGAAAUGCGUAGAUAUCAGGAGGAACACCGGUGGCGAAGGCGGCCUGCUGGACUGCAACUGACGUUGAGGCCCGAAAGCGUGGGGAGCAAACAGGAUUAGAUACCCCGGUAA